UACACGACCCCCCUCCCCCCCAGAGCGUUAAGCACCAACUGCCACCUGAGUUGGUGCCAUUGCUGCUGCUCCUUCCAGGGCAGGGGAGCCAGUGCAAUGGACCCCUCCCGCAACUCAUUUAAUCUCCAGCUUCAGGAAUCGAGGCCUGCCCCUGUCACAGCUCCGCUCAGCAGCAAGCCAGCCAGAGCUCAUCCACAACCUUCAUUUCUACCAUCAUGCUUCAGGAAUAGCUGGCAUGGCCUCUUGUUUUUGUGUGGACAAGUGACUAAGGAUUGCAUGGAAUUUACAAGCACCUGUUAAAAAAAAAAAAAAAAAGGAAACUGACAGCAUAAGCUUCCCACUGGUGCUCAACAUGGCCAUUUAGUCAAACCUGCCACUCUCCCCAAGUUGGUACAGAAUUACCACCAAGUAGCAGCACUGGUCAAAGAUACUGCCACAAGGUUGCCCAGUGAUUAGAGGCUGAACAUGCGAGGAUGGUGUGGGGAAGCCAGCUCGUCCAUGGAAACGGCGCACAGCCAUCGGACAAAAUCAACUGAAUAUUAAACAGAUAUUACAAACCA
Trachemys scripta elegans is the source of this 560-nucleotide long non-coding RNA. RefSeq lists it as uncharacterized. Lineage: Eukaryota; Metazoa; Chordata; Testudines; Emydidae. The record is from RefSeq and is a predicted model, not a curated record. The transcript is spliced from 3 exons.